AGUGAACGCUGGCGGUAGGCCUAACACAUGCAAGUCGAACGGCAGCACAGUAAGAGCUUGCUCUUACGGGUGGCGAGUGGCGGACGGGUGAGGAAUACAUCGGAAUCUACUUUUUCGUGGGGGAUAACGUAGGGAAACUUACGCUAAUACCGCAUACGACCUACGGGUGAAAGCAGGGGAUCUUCGGACCUUGCGCGAUUGAAUGAGCCGAUGUCGGAUUAGCUAGUUGGCGAGGUAAAGGCCCACCAAGGCAACGAUCCGUAGCUGAUCUGAGAGGAUGAUCGGCCACACUGGAACUGAGACACGGUCCAGACUCCUACGGGAGGCAGCAGUGGGGAAUAUUGGACAAUGGGCGCAAGCCUGAUCCAGCCAUACCGCGUGAGUGAAGAAGGCCUUCGGGUUGUAAAGCCCUUUUGUUGGGAAAGAAAAGCAGCAGGUUAAUACCCCGCUGUUCUGACGGUACCCAAAGAAUAAGCACCGGCUAACUUCGUG
RNAcentral lists this ribosomal RNA (492 nucleotides) under uncultured bacterium. RNAcentral's name for it is "partial 16S ribosomal RNA". It matches the Rfam family "Bacterial small subunit ribosomal RNA", at positions 29 to 507 of the family's 1533-position model. The record is from RNAcentral.